UUUACUCACUGCUGGGUGUCGAGUCUGGUCGAGUCGUAGAUGUCAAGUUGCGCGACAGGCGAUGCGUUGCGUGGUCGAUGUAGUCGAUCACACAAAGCUCUGUGCCUUCUGUAGAUGUUUACGCAUCUUAUAAAAAAAUCGUACUCCGUUUUGUUUUCGUUUUAACUUGUAAAACGGAAUUUUUUUUGUACCUCAGUGCAUUAAACACAUGGGAAUUUCCUGACAACUCGUAAACAUGGAUGACAUGCAAGGAAGGAGGUUAAGUGAUUCAAUGUCAUCUCUAUCGGGUGAAGGAAGUCCAAGUUUUGAGCAACCAAGUUUCAACACAUCCGAACGUGAAGGUUUGAAUAAUGGAAGAAAGAAGCGUCGGCUGGAUGAUUCCGGAUUGGAAUGGGACACGCUUGAGAAGCCAGCCAAGAAGAUGGCUCUGGAGGCUGAAUUUGAUAUGGCAGACAAAGCUAAGCGGAUGAUGGAAAAAAUGGGUUACAAGAAGGGUGCUGGUUUGGGAAAACACGGUCAAGGACGUUUGGAGCCGGUUGAAGCUUCCCAGCAGAAAGGACGCAGAGGUUUGGGUCACUAUAAUGAAAAGUUAAAAGAGGCCAAUCUUCGGUGGGAUCCCAGCAAGGAGGAAAUACUUAUAGAGGAAGAAAUCAAUUGGUUAAUGAACACCAAAGAGCCACCGUGCAUCAAAGAUCUAAACGAUUGGAUAAAAAUUGGACCAACAAAGAGAACGAUAGAGGACGAGACUUUGUACUGCGAUGCAGCAGUUGUAUCAGGAGUGGUAGGCUCGAAAUCAGUGUUCGACAAUUUGGACAAAAACGAAAUGAGACGAGCGCGAACGAGAUCGAACCCUUUUGAAACGAUUCGUGGUUCAAUAUUCCUCAACAGAGCUGCUGUGAAGAUGGCGAAUAUGGACAGAGCCUGCAAUUUCUUGUUCACCGCCCCAACGACAUUGAAAUCCAACGAGCUCUUGUAUUUUGCUGAUGUUUGCGCUGGUCCCGGUGGUUUCAGCGAGUAUGUGCUAUGGCGGAAGAAGUGGCAUGCCAAAGGUUUUGGCUUCACAUUACGAGAGUCGAAUGAUUUCAAGCUGGAAGAUUUCUAUGCGGGUUCACCGGACACUUUUCAUCCGUUUUAUGGUCCCAAAGGUGACGGAGAUGUUUACAAUCCGGAAAAUCAAGAGGCAUUCAGACAAUUGAUCAUGCGACAAACGCAUGGAAAUGGUGUCCAUUUCAUGAUGUCCGAUGGUGGUUUUUCGGUUGAGGGAGAAGAGAGCGUGCAGGAAAUACUAUCGAAACAGCUGUACCUUUGUCAGUGCCUUGUUGCGUUAAUGAUUGUUCGUGAAAAAGGACAUUUCGUAACAAAAUUAUUUGACAUCUUCACUCCCUUUUCCGCGGGUCUCGUUUACAUAAUGUCUCGAUGUUUCGAAAGCAUUUCCAUAUUCAAACCGAACACAUCGAGACCAGCUAAUUCCGAGCGUUAUCUCAUUUGCAACGGGAAACAAUCGAACGUGACGGACGUGAUUGAAUAUCUUUCACGCGUUAAUCGUAUCUUGUUGAACCAGGACAAGAGUCGAGACGUUAUGCAACUCGUGCCCCAUGAAAUCCUGGAGGAAGACGAAGAAUUUUUCAAAUACUUGAAAAAUUCAAACGAAGUUCUCGGCCGACGACAAAUCGUCGGACUCCUCAAAAUCGCUGCUUUUUGCGAAGACACUACUCUCAUGGAGAAUCGACAAGCUGAGAUGAGAAAAAAGUGCCUCGAAUAUUGGGGAUUGCCUGACACGAGUCGUACUAUUCCUCGGAUAAGCGCACCCGGAGAACGCUUGAAAGUUAUCACGCAAAAUUCAACCAUGAGUUUUAUGACGACUAAACCCAAGAUACUCGAGACUUCGAAUCUUAACAAAUUAUUGAAUGUACAUUACGAUUGGUUCUGUAUGCUCUGCGAUUCUUCCGGUCAAAUCAACGACAAAUCCGCUACUUUCUAUAUUGGAAUGGGCAAAUCGAAUUCUUAUCGUUACGACAACGGUACUUGGAUCAGAGUUCCAAAUCUUCAUUUAUCCCCCGACACCCUCGUUUUUGCUGAGCUUGUCACAGAAUUACGAGGCGAAUACACCCAGCAGAGGAGAACGAGUGCUCUUCACAUUCUCGACUCUUAUUUUCUGGGAGGCGAGGACGUUAGUCAAAAGUACAUCGAAGAGAGGUACAGAUUGACAAAGUUGUACACCGAGGCUCUCUGGAAACCGAUGAACGGUGAAUGGAUUCGCGUAAGAGCGAAAGAAUUGCAUCCACUGACGGAGAAUCUCGAGGAAAGGUUUAAUCUUCAGCUUCGUACGUUGAAAAAAGGUGGUCAAGUGUUAACGCACGUACCAUCGCGAGAUGACACCCAUUACGAAGACACCGACGACCCUUAUUUCAUAGUGCCGAAAAGCGUUGUAUUUUUUAAGAGCACUGCACAUUAUUGGUCUCGACAUGUCAGUCAAUCUUCUGGUUACCCUUAUUAUUACAAUUGGAAGGACAAGAGGACGCUCUACGACAAGGACAAGCCAGCAUGCGCGGAUGCUUCUUUCGCGGAAUCGUUUGAAAACCGUAUUGUUUGGUGUUGGCCGCCAGAUCCGGCCUUGACGAGAGAAAGUUUAUUUGAGAUGAUCCGUAACAAGUGCGUGCGACCUGUGAAUAGAUAAUUUUAUAUUUAGAAUGUUGCUAUAAAUUAUAAGAGGCUUUUCUAUAUUUUUCGAAUCAUUUCCAAGUGAUCGCUAAAUGUGUACAUUACGUACACAUUUAUGUGAU
Molecule: unclassified non-coding RNA, 2783 nt
Filed under: Venturia canescens
Lineage: Eukaryota; Metazoa; Arthropoda; Insecta; Hymenoptera; Ichneumonidae
Description: cap-specific mRNA (nucleoside-2'-O-)- methyltransferase 1-like, transcript variant X1
Source: RNAcentral